UGGGGAAUUUUGGACAAUGGGCGAAAGCCUGAUCCAGCAAUGCCGCGUGUGUGAAGAAGGCCUUCGGGUUGUAAAGCACUUUUGUCCGGAAAGAAAUCCUUGGCUCUAAUACAGUCGGGGGAUGACGGUACCGGAAGAAUAAGCACCGGCUAACUACGUGCCAGCAGCCGCGGUAAUACGUAGGGUGCAAGCGUUAAUCGGAAUUACUGGGCGUAAAGCGUGCGCAGGCGGUUUGCUAAGACCGAUGUGAAAUCCCCGGGCUCAACCUGGGAACUGCAUUGGUGACUGGCAGGCUAGAGUAUGGCAGAGGGGGGUAGAAUUCCACGUGUAGCAGUGAAAUGCGUAGAGAUGUGGAGGAAUACCGAUGGCGAAGGCAGCCCCCUGGGCCAAUACUGACGCUCAUGCACGAAAGCGUGGGGAGCAAACAGGAUUAGAUACCCCUGGUAGUCCACGCCCUAAACGAUGUCAACUAGUUGUUGGGGAUUCAUUUCCUUAGUAACGUAGCUAACGCGUGAAGUUGACCGCCUGGGGAGUACGGUCGCAAGAUUAAAACUUAAAUGAAUUG
RNAcentral lists this ribosomal RNA (565 nucleotides) under uncultured bacterium. RNAcentral describes it as "partial 16S ribosomal RNA". It matches the Rfam family "Bacterial small subunit ribosomal RNA", at positions 355 to 912 of the family's 1533-position model. The record is from RNAcentral.